Molecule: ribosomal RNA, 258 nt
Filed under: uncultured bacterium
Lineage: Bacteria
Description: partial 16S ribosomal RNA
Rfam family: Bacterial small subunit ribosomal RNA
Source: RNAcentral
GAUCCUGCUCAGGAUGAACGCUAGCUACAGGCUUAACACAUGCAAGUCGAGGGGCAGCAUGACCUAGCAAUAGGUUGAUGGCGACCGGCGCACGGGUGAGUAACACGUAUCCAACCUACCGGUUAUUCCGGGAUAGCCUUUCGAAAGAAAGAUUAAUACCGGAUAGUAUAACGAGAAGGCAUCUUCUUGUUAUUAAAGAAUUUCGAUAACCGAUGGGGAUGCGUUCCAUUAGUUUGUUGGCGGGUAACGGCCACCAAG